Non-coding RNA from Cordylochernes scorpioides, 71 nucleotides. Lineage: Eukaryota; Metazoa; Arthropoda; Arachnida; Pseudoscorpiones; Chernetidae. The record is from the annotation of a GenBank genome assembly.
UGCAUCGGUCGGGAAUCGAACCCGGGCCGCCCGCGUGGUAGGCGAGCAUUCUACCACAGAACCACCAAUGG